GUGCUGGGCGCAGCCUGAUCCAGCCAUGCCGCGUGCGGGAAGAAGGCCUUCGGGUUGUAAACCGCUUUUGUCAGGGAAGAAAAGGUUCUGGCUAAUACCUGGGACUCAUGACGGUACCUGAAGAAUAAGCACCGGCUAACUACGUGCCAGCAGCCGCGGUAAUACGUAGGGUGCAAGCGUUAAUCGGAAUUACUGGGCGUAAAGCGUGCGCAGGCGGUUAUGCAAGACAGAGGUGAAAUCCCCGGGCUCAACCUGGGAACUGCCUUUGUGACUGCAUGGCUAGAGUACGGUAGAGGGGGAUGGAAUUCCGCGUGUAGCAGUGAAAUGCGUAGAUAUGCGGAGGAACACCGAUGGCGAAGGCAAUCCCCUGGACCUGUACUGACGCUCAUGCACGAAAGCGUGGGGAGCAAACAGGAUUAGAUACCCUGGUAGUCCACGCCCUAAACGAUGUCAACUGGUUGUUGGGAGGGUUUCUUCUCAGUAACGUAGCUAACGCGUGAAGUUGACCGCCUGGGGAGUACGGCCGCAAGGUUGAAACUCAAAGAAAUUUGGACGGA
RNAcentral lists this ribosomal RNA (557 nucleotides) under uncultured bacterium. RNAcentral describes it as "bacterial SSU rRNA". It matches the Rfam family "Bacterial small subunit ribosomal RNA", at positions 368 to 919 of the family's 1533-position model. The record is from RNAcentral.